Molecule: long non-coding RNA, 859 nt
Organism: Malaya genurostris
Lineage: Eukaryota; Metazoa; Arthropoda; Insecta; Diptera; Culicidae
Exons: 3
Source: RefSeq, a predicted model, not a curated record
GUUAAAACAUGUUAUUUUCGGCCAGUGUGAACAUAGUAUUACACGCUGCCAAAAAAAAAAACCCAACGGUUGACUUAAAUUUACCUAACAUGAAGUAAUCAAGCAUGUUUUUUAUUGUUGGGUGAAAAGUACUGUAUCGAUUGAGUAGUUUUCACUCAACAGUUUAGUUUACUUCAAUAAGUUGCUGUUGGGUGAAAAUAAUUUUGUGUGUUGCAUGGCAGAAACUAUCGGUCAGAUUUGGAGCAUUACUCUCACGGUCGAAUCUCUAAAUAUACGUGCUUUUUGUUUAUAGGUACAACAAGCUUUUGAAAGGCUUCAACAACUUUGGAUUGAUGCUCGAUUGUAAAUGGAGAGAUGUGGAAAACAAGUAUGUGAGAGGAACAUUGCGGAUACUGAAAAAAUUAACUAACCGUGGAAUUAAACGUACAGCAGAUGAUGAUAAAUUAUCAGUCGAAGAGAUUCUGGCUACACCUUUGAUUAAAUGAAUACAGAUGGUUCCUGGCAAAACAGACUACGAGGUCGUCAAACAAUAUAGUGAAUUAGCAUGCAUGCCGCACAUUGUAUGUGUGGCACCGGUAUUUAACGAAGGACCUAUGUUUAUUGUAUUUGAUAAAAAUAUUUUGCCUUGCGGUCAUCGAUAUAUAGAGACUAUAGACACAUUUUUCAAAAUUUUUGAAGCUAAGAAAAUUAAGAAAAUUAUUCGAUUUUGUUAGUUUUUUAUAAACAACAAUAGUCUGUAGAUCUAAUACUGUUGCAGCUCUAAUUGCAAAAUACAAUGAACAUGAAUUCCCAUAAAUGUGCGAACAGAUUUAAUUUUCAUUACAUUGUUGAAAUAUGUAAAAUGAUAAAUAUUGAAUAA